AUUGAACGCUGGCGGCAUGCUUUACACAUGCAAGUCGAACGGUAACAGGUUAAGCUGACGAGUGGCGAACGGGUGAGUAAUGCAUCGGAACGUGCCCGAUCGUGGGGGAUAACGCAGCGAAAGCUGCGCUAAUACCGCAUACGAUCUGAGGAUGAAAGCGGGGGACCGUAAGGCCUCGCGCGAUCGGAGCGGCCGAUGUCAGAUUAGGUAGUUGGUGGGGUAAAGGCUCACCAAGCCAACGAUCUGUAGCUGGUCUGAGAGGACGACCAGCCACACUGGGACUGAGACACGGCCCAGACUCCUACGGGAGGCAGCAGUGGGGAAUUUUGGACAAUGGGCGAAAGCCUGAUCCAGCCAUGCCGCGUGCAGGAUGAAGGCCUUCGGGUUGUAAACUGCUUUUGUACGGAACGAAAAGGUUUGGCCUAAUAAGCUGAGCUCAUGACGGAACCGUAAGAAUAAGCACCGGCUAACUACGUGCCAGCCGCCGCGGUAA
RNAcentral lists this ribosomal RNA (493 nucleotides) under uncultured bacterium. Its description in RNAcentral is "partial 16S ribosomal RNA". It matches the Rfam family "Bacterial small subunit ribosomal RNA", at positions 30 to 523 of the family's 1533-position model. The record is from RNAcentral.